RNAcentral lists this ribosomal RNA (465 nucleotides) under uncultured bacterium. RNAcentral describes it as "partial 16S ribosomal RNA". It matches the Rfam family "Bacterial small subunit ribosomal RNA", at positions 28 to 507 of the family's 1533-position model. The record is from RNAcentral.
GACGAACGCUGGCGGCGUGCUUAACACAUGCAAGUCGAACGGAAAGGCCCUGCUUGCGGGGUACUCGAGUGGCGAACGGGUGAGUAACACGUGGGUGAUCUGCCCUGCACUUCGGGAUAAGCUUGGGAAACUGGGUCUAAUACCGGAUAGGAGCCAUCUUUAGUGUGGUGGUUGGAAAGUUUUUUCGGUGUAGGAUGAGCUCGCGGCCUAUCAGCUUGUUGGUGGGGUAAUGGCCUACCAAGGCGGCGACGGGUAGCCGGCCUGAGAGGGUGUACGGCCACAUUGGGACUGGGAUACGGCCCAGACUCCUACGGGAGGCAGCAGUGGGGAAUAUUGCACAAUGGCGCAAGCCUGAUGCAGCGACGCCGCGUGGGGGAUGAAGGCCUUCGGGUUGUAAACUCCUUUCGCUAGGGACGAAGCUUUUUUGUGACGGUACCUAGAUAAGAAGCACCGGCUAACUACGUG